GACGAACGCUGGCGGCGUGCCUAAUACAUGCAAGUAGAACGCACAGUUUAUACCGUAGCUUGCUACACCAUAGACUGUGAGUUGCGAACGGGUGAGUAACGCGUAGGUAACCUGCCUGGUAGCGGGGGAUAACUAUUGGAAACGAUAGCUAAUACCGCAUAAUAUUGAUUAUUGCAUGAUAAUUGAUUGAACGAUGCUAUUGCAUCACUACCAGAUGGACCUGCGUUGUAUUAGCUAGUAGGUGAGGUAACGGCUCACCUAGGCGACGAUACAUAGCCGACCAGAGAGGGUGAUCGGCCACACUGGGACUGAGACACGGCCCAGACUCCUACGGGAGGCAGCAGUAGGGAAUCUUCGGCAAUGGACGAAAGUCUGACCGAGCAACGCCGCGUGAGGGAAGAAGGUUUUCGGAUCGUAAAGCUCGGUUGUAAGAGAAGAACGGGUGUGAGAGUGGAAAGUUCACACUGUGACGGUAUCUUACCAGAAAGGGACGGCUAACUACGUG
RNAcentral lists this ribosomal RNA (505 nucleotides) under uncultured bacterium. Its description in RNAcentral is "partial 16S ribosomal RNA". It matches the Rfam family "Bacterial small subunit ribosomal RNA", at positions 28 to 507 of the family's 1533-position model. The record is from RNAcentral.